Molecule: ribosomal RNA, 694 nt
Filed under: Pycnospora lutescens
Lineage: Eukaryota; Viridiplantae; Streptophyta; Magnoliopsida; Fabales; Fabaceae
Description: eukaryotic LSU rRNA
Source: RNAcentral
AUUUAGAGGAAGGAGAAGUCGUAACAAGGUUUCCGUAGGUGAACCUGCGGAAGGAUCAUUGUCGAUGCCUCGCAAUCAACUCGACCGGCGAAUCUGUUUGUCCGCCCGGGUGCGUCUCGGGGCGUCGGACGCCCCGACCGCCCCUGUCGGGGGGCGGCCGUGGCCYGCCYGGCCUCCUCCCGACGAACACAAACCCCGGCGCUCCGUGCGCCAAGGAAUUCAAAACUGUCCGGUGCGGUCCCGGGGACCCGGAAACGGUGCUCCCGCGGGUCUCGUCACGGCACAAYAUGCAAAAUGACUCUCGGCAACGGAUAUCUCGGCUCUUGCAUCGAUGAAGAACGUAGCGAAAUGCGAUACUUGGUGUGAAUUGCAGAAUCCCGUGAACCAUCGAGUCUUUGAACGCAAGUUGCGCCCGAAGCCAUUAGGCCGAGGGCACGCCUGCCUGGGUGUCACACAUCGUUGCCCUCCCGCAAGCGUCGUUGCGGAGGGCGUGUGCUGGCUUCCCGCGAGCGCCGUCUCGCGGUUGGCUGAAAAUCGAGUUCGUGGUCGGGCGAGCCACGACGCAAUGGUGGACGAGCGACGCUCGAGACCGAUCGAUCGUGCGCGGCCCGGCCGGUGCGGACUCUCCGACCCCUGCGCGUCCCCGGACGCUCUCGGCGAGACCUCAGGUCAGGCGGGGCUACCCGCUGAGUUU